GAAUGUGAGGGUGACCUGGCUAUGACAUCUGUCAUACCAUUGAUCGCCAGGGUUGAUUUGGCUGAACUGGCUGACCCCUUUCACCUUUCCUCUCUCACUGCUUCAUGUGUAUCCUUCCCUAAGCUGCAUGCUCCAUCGAAGAGGACGACCUUCCCCAGUGCAGGAGGAUUAUUAUUCAGUCAAGGGUAUACCAGUAGCUGCACUCUCCUGCCUGAACCUCCAAACAAGCUCUCAAGGUUUAUUUGUAGGAGAACGUAGGGUAGUCAAACUUCCAAGACUCCAGACACAUCCAAAUGAGGCGCUACAUGUGACAGUAUGCCUUUCUCU
This is a non-coding RNA of Canis lupus familiaris (dog), 327 nucleotides long. NCBI's taxonomy places the organism in Eukaryota, Metazoa, Chordata, Mammalia, Carnivora, Canidae. The record is from Rfam.